AUGGGAACGCGAAGAACCUUACCUAGACUUGACAUCUCCUGAAUAGUGUAGAGAUACAUGAAGCCCUUCGGGGCAGGAAGACAGGUGGUGCAUGGUUGUCGUCAGCUCGUGUCGUGAGAUGUUGGGUUAAGUCCCGCAACGAGCGCAACCCCUAUUAUUAGUUGCUAACAUUAAGUUGAGCACUCUAGUGAGACUGCCCGGGUUAACCGGGAGGAAGGUGGGGAUGACGUCAAAUCAUCAUGCCCCUUAUGUCUAGGGCUACACACGUGCUACAAUGGUGGGAACAAAGAGAUGCAAUACCGCAAGGUGGAGCUAAACUCAAAACCCCAUCCCAGUUCGGAUUGUAGGCUGAAACUCGCCUACAUGAAGCUGGAGUUGCUAGUAAUCGCGAAUCAGAAUGUCGCGGUGAAUACGUUCCCGGGUCUUGUACACACCG
This 436-nucleotide ribosomal RNA is filed under the name uncultured bacterium. Its description in RNAcentral is "bacterial SSU rRNA". It matches the Rfam family "Bacterial small subunit ribosomal RNA", at positions 954 to 1392 of the family's 1533-position model. The record is from RNAcentral.